Molecule: ribosomal RNA, 1011 nt
Filed under: Aspergillus sp. FD01
Lineage: Eukaryota; Fungi; Ascomycota; Eurotiomycetes; Eurotiales; Aspergillaceae
Description: eukaryotic LSU rRNA
Rfam family: Eukaryotic large subunit ribosomal RNA
Source: RNAcentral
GGGAUUGCCCUAGUAUCGGCGAGUGAAGCGGCGAGAGCUCAAAUUUGAAAGCUGGCCCCUUCGGGGUCCGCGUUGUAAUUUGCAGAGGAUGCUUCGGGUGCGGCCCCUGUCUAAGUGCUCCUGGAACGGCCCGUCACAGAGGGUGAGAAUCCCGUCUUGGGCAGGGUGCCCGUGCCCGUGUGAAGCUCCUUCCACGAGUCGAGUUGUUUGGGAAUGCAGCUCUAAAUGGGUGGUAAAUUUCAUCUAAAGCUAAAUACCGGCCGGAGACCGAUAGCCCACAAGUAGAGUGAUCGAAAGAUGAAAAGCACUUUGAAAAGAGAGUUAAACAGCACGUGAAAUUGUUGAAAGGGAAGCGCUUGCGACCAGACUCCGCCCCGGGGUUCAGCCAGCAUUCGUGCUGGUGUACUUCCCCGGGGGCGGGCCAGCGUCGGUUUGGGCGGCCGGUCAAAGGCCCCAGGAAUGUAUCGCCCUCCGGGGUUGUCUUAUAGCCUGGGGUGCAAUGCGGCCAGCCCGGACCGAGGAACGCGCUUCGGCACGGACGCUGGCGUAAUGGUCGCAAACGACCCGUCUUGAAACACGGACCAAGGAGUCUAACAUCUACGCGAGUGUUCGGGUGUCAAACCCGUACGCGCAGUGAAAGCGAACGGAGGUGGGAGCCCCCCCGGGGCGCACCAUCGACCGAUCCUGAUGUCUUCGGAUGGAUUUGAGUAAGAGCGUAGCUGUGGGGACCCGAAAGAUGGUGAACUAUGCCUGAAUAGGGCGAAGCCAGAGGAAACUCUGGUGGAGGCUCGCAGCGGUUCUGACGUGCAAAUCGAUCGUCAAAUUUGGGUAUAGGGGCGAAAGACUAAUCGAACCAUCUGGUAGCUGGUUCCUGCCGAAGUUUCCCUCAGGAUAGCAGUAACGCGGAUCAGUUUUAUGAGGUAAAGCGAAUGAUUAGAGGCAUUGGGGUUGAAACAACCUUAACCUAUUCUCAAACUUUAAAUAUGUAAGAAGCCCUUGUUGCUUAGUUGA